This 502-nucleotide ribosomal RNA is filed under the name uncultured bacterium. Its description in RNAcentral is "partial 16S ribosomal RNA". It matches the Rfam family "Bacterial small subunit ribosomal RNA", at positions 30 to 523 of the family's 1533-position model. The record is from RNAcentral.
AUUGAACGCUGGCGGCAGGCUUAACACAUGCAAGUCGAGCGGGGUGAUGGUGCUUGCACUAUCACUUAGCGGCGGACGGGUGAGUAAUGCUUAGGAAUCUGCCUAUUAGUGGGGGACAACAUCUCGAAAGGGAUGCUAAUACCGCAUACGUCCUACGGGAGAAAGCAGGGGAUCACUUGUGACCUUGCGCUAAUAGAUGAGCCUAAGUCGGAUUAGCUAGUUGGUGGGGUAAAGGCCUACCAAGGCGACGAUCUGUAGCGGGUCUGAGAGGAUGACCAGCCACACUGGAACUGAGACACGGUCCAGACUCCUACGGGAGGCAGCAGUGGGGAAUAUUGCACAAUGGGCGCAAGCCUGAUGCAGCCAUGCCGCGUGUAUGAAGAAGGCCUUCGGGUUGUAAAGUACUUUCAGCGGGGAGGAAGGCGGUGGAGUUAAUAACUUCACCGAUUGACGUUACCCGCAGAAGAAGCACCGGCUAACUCCGUGCCAGCCGCCGCAGUAA